Prunus persica (peach) is the source of this 735-nucleotide long non-coding RNA. RefSeq lists it as uncharacterized. Lineage: Eukaryota; Viridiplantae; Streptophyta; Magnoliopsida; Rosales; Rosaceae. The transcript is spliced from 3 exons. The record is from RefSeq and is a predicted model, not a curated record.
UUGCGUAGAGCACGGCGAAACGAGUUCGUAGACAUGGAGUAGACCCGAACCGGAGUUGUAAUGAAGAAGUUACGGUCAAAAUACUCACGAGGGCAAAAUGGAAAUUUUGGGAGAUCAUUUUUUUUAAAUCUGUUUUCUUCUCUCACUCUCUCAUUCUCUCACUCUCUCUCUCUCUCUCUCCCUCUCUCUCUCCCUCCCGAUAGUUCAGAAAAACCAGAAGGGCAGCCACCUUCCAAGCCACCCCGACCCUCCGGAACGGACCCAGCAGCACCGGCCAGCUCCCGCCAGCAACCUCAGCCCGUCCGCCGCCCCUGCUGGAGCCGCUGGAAACUGCUGGAAAACGCAGCAGUUUUGGCCGAUUUUCCAACCUCAGUUUCUCCCUCAUCCGGACACCAAAUCAGUCGUGUGAGGCACCAGAAGUCCAGCUAAUCCACAGGAGGGACCUCCAAGAGGUCCAGCUAGCUCGGACCAGCAGCCGUAGAAGAACGAAGGAAACCACUCGGGCCAUCAUCCUAGUUUCCGACCCACCACCAAAGUGUAGGAGUUCGUUGUAACUCUUUUGUAAAUCCUGUAAAUUUGUAUAGAAAUGCUCUGAGAACUUGUGGAACAUAAGGAACUGGUAGGAUUUUUGAGACUGUUUGACAGGUGGAAGACUUUGUGUUUGGUCAAAAUACAGGGUAGACUCUGCCGGAUUUUCGGCAGAAGUCGAAAGUAAAUUUUAAGAAAUUUGUUUAA